UGGCUCAGGAUGAACGCUAGCGACAGGCCUAACACAUGCAAGUCGAGGGGCAGCACAAGGAGCAAUCUGAGGUGGCGACCGGCGCACGGGUGAGUAACACGUAUGCAACCUGCCUGUAAGCGGGGAAUAACCCGUUGAAAGACGGACUAAUACCGCAUAAUACUAAAUUACUGCAUGGUAAUUUAUUUAAACAUUUAUGGCUUACAGAUGGGCAUGCGCAUGAUUAGCUAGUUGGAGAGGUAACGGCUCCCCAAGGCAACGAUCAUUAGGGGUUCUGAGAGGAAGGUCCCCCCACACUGGUACUGAGACACGGACCAGACUCCUACGGGAGGCAGCAGUGAGGAAUAUUGGUCAAUGGACGAGAGUCUGAACCAGCCAAGUCGCGUGCAGGAAGAAUUGUCCUAUGGAUUGUAAACUGCUUUUGCAGGGGAAUAAAGUGCAUCACGUGUGAUGUUUUGUAUGUACUCUGCGAAUAAGGAUCGGCUAACUCCGUGCCAGCCGCGGC
This 505-nucleotide ribosomal RNA is filed under the name uncultured bacterium. RNAcentral describes it as "bacterial SSU rRNA". It matches the Rfam family "Bacterial small subunit ribosomal RNA", at positions 20 to 518 of the family's 1533-position model. The record is from RNAcentral.